AGACCCGAAACCCGGUGAUCUAGCCAUGGGCAGGUUGAAGGUUGGGUAACACUAACUGGAGGACCGAACCGACUAAUGUUGAAAAAUUAGCGGAUGACCUGUGGCUGGGGGUGAAAGGCCAAUCAAACCGGGAGAUAGCUGGUUCUCCCCGAAAGCUAUUUAGGUAGCGCCUCGUGAAUUCAUCUCCGGGGGUAGAGCACUGUUUCGGCUAGGGGGCCAUCCCGGCUUACCAACCCGAUGCAAACUGCGAAUACCGGAGAAUGUUAUCACGGGAGACACACGGCGGGUGCUAACGUCCGUCGUGAAGAGGGAAACAACCCAGACCGCCAGCUAAGGUCCCAAAGUCAUGGUUAAGUGGGAAACGAUGUGGGAAGGCCCAGACAGCCAGGAUGUUGGCUUAGAAGCAGCCAUCAUUUAAAGAAAGCGUAAUAGCUCACUGGUCGAGUCGGCCUGCGCGGAAGAUGUAACGGGGCUAAACCAUGCACCGAAGCUGCGGCAGCGACACUCAGGUGUUGUUGGGUAGGGGAGCGUUCUGUAAGCCUGCGAAGGUGGCCUGUGAGGGUUGCUGGAGGUAUCAGAAGUGCGAAUGCUGACAUAAGUAACGAUAAAGCGGGUGAAAAGCCCGCUCGCCGGAAGACCAAGGGUUCCUGUCCAACGUUAAUCGGGGCAGGGUGAGUCGACCCCUAAGGCGAGGCCGAAAGGCGUAGUCGAUGGGAAACGGGUUAAUAUUCCCGUACUUGGUGUUACUGCGAAGGGGGGACGGAGAAGGCUAUGUUGGCCGGGCGACGGUUGUCCCGGUUUAAGCGUGUAGGUGUGUGUUCCAGGUAAAUCCGGUUCACUUUAACACUGAGGCGUGAUGACGAGGCACUACGGUGCUGAAGCAACAAAUGCCCUGCUUCCAGGAAAAGCCUCUAAGCAUCAGGUAACA
RNAcentral lists this ribosomal RNA (928 nucleotides) under Salmonella enterica subsp. enterica serovar Blockley. RNAcentral's name for it is "partial 23S ribosomal RNA". It matches the Rfam family "Bacterial large subunit ribosomal RNA", at positions 711 to 1636 of the family's 2925-position model. Lineage: Bacteria; Pseudomonadati; Pseudomonadota; Gammaproteobacteria; Enterobacterales; Enterobacteriaceae. The record is from RNAcentral.